GGGAGGGCCAAGCCUGCCCACUGCAGGGGGCUCGAAGCCCCUAUGGAGCCAUAGCAGAGGACAGUGCCAGAGUCUGUGGUCUGAGGCUGGUUCUGGUCCCAAGCAGGCGUCCUUUCUGUCAAGCCCUGUGACAGGAGGGGGCAGCUGUGGCUUUCCAUUGAGCUAUAAAAAGCCCAACGCCCGGGCGAGGAGAGGACACAGUGAGACACACAGGACUCACUGGACUCGGGAGCUCGGCCUAGCAAUCAUGAGGUUGGGCCCCACCAUCAGGCUGCUGCAAGCCCCUCUGAGGGCCUGUGUGGUCCCCAAGGCGCACAUCUCUGCCAAGCCGGCCAGAACACCCACCUCUCCCUCGGAGCAGGCCGCUGCGCUCGUGGUGACGUUCCUCAGCUUCCUGAUCCCUGCGGGCUGGGUCCUGUCCCACCUGGAGAGCUACAAGAGAAGAUCCUCAGCCUGAGGGCCUGGCAGCCACCGCUGUGAGGGCGGGAAGGUCACAUUAAAACCUUCCCAACCUAA
Miniopterus natalensis is the source of this 516-nucleotide non-coding RNA. The record is from RefSeq and is a predicted model, not a curated record. Lineage: Eukaryota; Metazoa; Chordata; Mammalia; Chiroptera; Miniopteridae.